AUUGAACGCUGGCGGCAGGCCUAACACAUGCAAGUCGAACGGUAACAGGAAGAAGCUUGCUUCUUUGCUGACGAGUGGCGGACGGGUGAGUAAUGUCUGGGAAACUGCCUGAUGGAGGGGGAUAACUACUGGAAACGGUAGCUAAUACCGCAUAACGUCGCAAGACCAAAGAGGGGGACCUUCGGGCCUCUUGCCAUCGGAUGUGCCCAGAUGGGAUUAGCUAGUAGGUGGGGUAACGGCUCACCUAGGCGACGCUCCCUAGCUGGUCUGAGAGGAUGACAGGCACCCCGGAAACGAGACACGGGCCAGAAUCCUACGGGGGGCAGCAGGGGGGAAUAUUGGACAAUGGGCGGAAGCCUGAUGCAGGCAAGGCGGGGGGAUGAAGAAGGCCUUCGGGUUGUAAAGUACUUUCAGCGGGGAGGAAGGGAGUAAAGUUAAUACCUUUGCUCAUUGACGUUACCCGCAGAAGAAGCACCGGCUAACUCCGUG
RNAcentral lists this ribosomal RNA (489 nucleotides) under uncultured bacterium. RNAcentral describes it as "partial 16S ribosomal RNA". It matches the Rfam family "Bacterial small subunit ribosomal RNA", at positions 29 to 507 of the family's 1533-position model. The record is from RNAcentral.